Molecule: ribosomal RNA, 466 nt
Filed under: uncultured bacterium
Lineage: Bacteria
Description: partial 16S ribosomal RNA
Rfam family: Bacterial small subunit ribosomal RNA
Source: RNAcentral
AUGAACGCUGGCGGCGCGCCUAACACAUGCAAGUCGCACGAUUAAAGCACCUUCGGGUGUGUAUAAAGUGGCGAACGGCUGAGUAACACGUGGGCAACCUGCCCCUUUCAUUGGGAUAGCCACGGGAAACCGUGGAUAAUACCGAAUACUUCGAGACUUCCGCAUGGAAGACUCGAGAAAGCUCCGGCGGAGAGGGAUGGGCCCGCGGCCUAUUAGCUUGUUGGUGGGGUAACGGCCUACCAAGGCAAUGAUGGGUAGCUGGGUUGAGAGACCGACCAGCCAGAUUGGGACUGAGACACGGCCCAGACUCCUACGGGAGGCAGCAGUGGGGAAUCUUGCACAAUGGGCGAAAGCCUGAUGCAGCGACGCCGCGUGCGGGAUGAAGGCCUUCGGGUUGUAAACCGCUUUCAGCAGGGACGAGGCGAAAGUGACGGUACCUGCAGAAGAAGCCCCGGCUAACUACGUG